Molecule: long non-coding RNA, 134 nt
Organism: Lutra lutra (Eurasian river otter)
Lineage: Eukaryota; Metazoa; Chordata; Mammalia; Carnivora; Mustelidae
Exons: 2
Source: RefSeq, a predicted model, not a curated record
CUGAAGGCAGAUGCCUAACAACUGAGCCACCCAGAUGCCCCUGUGCUUUGACUUCUUAAAUAAGAAAGAGAAGUUCUGCCUCGAGGGAAGGUCUGGGCCUUGACCAAGGUGGGAAUGGAUUGUGAGAAGCUAGG